Molecule: ribosomal RNA, 253 nt
Filed under: uncultured bacterium
Lineage: Bacteria
Description: partial 16S ribosomal RNA
Rfam family: Bacterial small subunit ribosomal RNA
Source: RNAcentral
UACGUAGGGUGCGAGCGUUAAUCGGAAUUACUGGGCGUAAAGCGUGCGCAGGCGGUUUUGUAAGCCAGAUGUGAAAUCCCCGGGCUUAACCUGGGAAUGGCAUUUGGGACUGCAAGGCUGGAGUGCGGCAGAGGAGACUGGAAUUCCUGGUGUAGCGGUGAAAUGCGCAGAUAUCAGGAGGAACACCAAUUGCGAAGGCAGCUCGCUGGGACGUUACUGACGCUGAGACGCGAAAGCGUGGGGAGCAAACAGG